CAUGCAGUCGGACGGCAGCGGGCCCUUCGGGGCGCCGGCGAGUGGCGGACGGGUGAGUAACGCGUAGGAAUCUGCCCUGUAGUGGGGGACAACUUAGGGAAACUUAAGCUAAUACCGCAUACGCCCCAAGGGGGAAAGCGGGGGACCUUCGGGCCUCGCGCUAUAGGAUGAGCCUGCGUUGGAUUAGCUAGUUGGCGGGGUAAAGGCCCACCAAGGCGACGAUCCAUAGCUGGUCUGAGAGGACGAUCAGCCACACUGGGACUGAGACACGGCCCAGACUCCUACGGGAGGCAGCAGUGGGGAAUAUUGGACAAUGGGCGCAAGCCUGAUCCAGCAAUACCGCGUGUGUGAAGAAGGCCCGAGGGUUGUAAAGCACUUUCAAUUGGGAGGAAAAAGGCAAGCCCAAUACGCCUGCCCUUGACAUUACCUUUAGAAGAAGCACCGGCUAACUCCGUGCCAGCAGCCGCGGUAAUACGGAGGGUGCGAGCGUUAAUCGGAAUUACUGGGCGUAAAGCGUGCGUAGGCGGCCCGCCAAGUCAGAUGUGAAAGCCCUGGGCUCAACCUGGGAACGGCAUUUGAAACGGGCGGGCUAGAGUUGGGUAGAGGGGAGUGGAAUUCCGGGUGUAGCGGUGAAAUGCGUAGAUAUCCGGAGGAACACCAGUGGCGAAGGCGGCUCCCUGGACCCAAACUGACGCUGAGGUACGAAAGCGUGGGUAGCAAACAGGAUUAGAUACCCUGGUAGUCCACGCCGUAAACGAUGUCGACUAGCCGUUGGGCNCUUAUAGGGCUUAGUGGCGCAGCUAACGCAUUAAGUCGACCGCCUGGGGAGUACGGCCGCAAGGUUAAAACUCAAAUGAAUUGACGG
RNAcentral lists this ribosomal RNA (865 nucleotides) under uncultured bacterium. Its description in RNAcentral is "bacterial SSU rRNA". It matches the Rfam family "Bacterial small subunit ribosomal RNA", at positions 54 to 916 of the family's 1533-position model. The record is from RNAcentral.